CGGCCUGCAGUUGGAACAGCACAAACACAUGAAAAGAAAGAUGAGAUGUCACAUUAGUGUUGUUUCUUGUCUUGGCUAUGCUGCACAUUGGCGCUUCCAAUAUCUUGAAUGACAGGGCAUUCUCGGAUCAUGCAGCUUUAUAUACUUCGGGGGCAUGAAAAGAAAUCUAAUGCAAGUAUUAGCAAUAAGCAGCCAGAGGGUGGUGUAUCA
Molecule: long non-coding RNA, 210 nt
Organism: Sorghum bicolor (sorghum)
Lineage: Eukaryota; Viridiplantae; Streptophyta; Magnoliopsida; Poales; Poaceae
Exons: 2
Source: RefSeq, a predicted model, not a curated record